CCUACGGGAGGCAGCAGUGAGGAAUAUUGGUCAAUGGGCGCGAGCCUGAACCAGCCAAGUCGCGUGAGGGAAGACGGUCCUAUGGAUUGUAGACCUCUUUUGUCGGGGAGCAAAAGACGCCACGCGUGGCGUUCCGAGAGUACCCGAAGAAAAAGCAUCGGCUAACUCCGUGCCAGCAGCCGCGGUAAUACGGAGGAUGCGAGCGUUCUCCGGAUUAAUUGGGUUAAAGGGGUGCGCAGGCGGAAGCUCAAGUCAGCGGUAAAGUUGAGGGGCUCAACCUCUUCGAGCCGUUGAAACUGGGUGUCUUGAGUGAGUGAGAAGUAUGCGGAAUGCGUGGUGUAGCGGUGAAAUGCAUAGAUAUCACGCAGAACUCCGAUUGCGAAGGCAGCAUACCGGCGCUCAACUGACGCUCAUGCACGAAAGUGUGGGUAUCGAACAGGAUUAGAUACCCGGGUAGUC
RNAcentral lists this ribosomal RNA (459 nucleotides) under uncultured bacterium. Its description in RNAcentral is "partial 16S ribosomal RNA". It matches the Rfam family "Bacterial small subunit ribosomal RNA", at positions 338 to 795 of the family's 1533-position model. The record is from RNAcentral.